UAGAUGGAAAGAGGUUGCCGACGUAUGA
RNAcentral lists this non-coding RNA (28 nucleotides) under Homo sapiens (human). Lineage: Eukaryota; Metazoa; Chordata; Mammalia; Primates; Hominidae. The record is from RNAcentral.